This 498-nucleotide ribosomal RNA is filed under the name uncultured bacterium. RNAcentral's name for it is "partial 16S ribosomal RNA". It matches the Rfam family "Bacterial small subunit ribosomal RNA", at positions 30 to 523 of the family's 1533-position model. The record is from RNAcentral.
AUUGAACGCUGGCGGCAUGCCUUACACAUGCAAGUCGAACGGUAACAGGUCUUCGGAUGCUGACGAGUGGCGAACGGGUGAGUAAUACAUCGGAACGUGCCCGAUCGUGGGGGAUAACUACUCGAAAGAGUAGCUAAUACCGCAUACGAUCUACGGAUGAAAGCGGGGGAUCUUCGGACCUCGUGCGGACGGAGCGGCCGAUGGCAGAUUAGGUAGUUGGUGGGAUAAAAGCUUACCAAGCCGACGAUCUGUAGCUGGUCUGAGAGGACGACCAGCCACACUGGGACGGAGACACGGCCCAGACUCCUACGGGAGGCAGCAGUGGGGAAUUUUGGACAAUGGGCGAAAGCCUGAUCCAGCAAUGCCGCGUGCAGGAUGAAGGCCUUCGGGUUGUAAACUGCUUUUGUACGGAACGAAAAGACUCCUUCUAAUACAGGGGGUCCAUGACGGUACCGUAAGAAUAAGCACCGGCUAACUACGUGCCAGCCGCCGCGGUAA